AUGCACGGGUUUCUAGCUGGUCUUUCCAAUAUGCCAACCUUCUCAUUUACCUGUAAAAAUCUCCAGUCAGCUAUCAAAGAUCCCCAGGCCGUAGACGAUCUUAUGGAUAAAGAAUUAGAGAAGGGGUACAUGAUCGGACCUUUUGAUCAACCUCCUUUCAAAUUGUUUCGCAUUAACCCUUUAGGAGUCGCAGUCAGGAAAUAUGCGGGGAAAAAAUGCUUAAUUAUUGAUUUAUCCGCUCCCCACUCCACAGUAGGGGUUCCUAGCAUUAACAGUUUAAUUCCCUCUGAACCUUUUUCCCUGGCUUAUUCUACAGUGGACAACGCAAUUAAACUCAUUAAAUUAGCCGGCAGAGGAGUGUGGCUCAGCAAAGCAGAUAUCACCGACGCCUUCAAAAUAAUGCCCCUACAUCCCUCUCAGUGGCACCUUUUCGGGGUCAGGUGGCGAGAAAAAAUUUAUUUUUCAGUCAGACUCACCUUCGGGUGUAAAAGCAGUCCAAAGAUAUUUGAUACACUAUCGGAAGCACUUUACUGGAUCCUACUAAAUAAUUUCAAAUUACCAUUCGUUCUUCACCUGCUGGAUGACUUCCUGCUUAUAGACUUUCCAGAUGCCAACCCAUCGCGCAGCAUCAAUUCCCUGGUCAAAGCAUUCAACAAAUUCGGCAUUCCUCUCGCAGAGAAAAAAACAAAAGGCCCUUUUCGCGUACUCGAUUUCCUGGGCAUCACGCUAGAUUCAGUGAAAAUGCAAGCGUCUCUUCCGCUAGACAAACUAGAAAGGAUUAGAGGGUUCAUUAGAACCUAUUCCUGUUCACCUACCCUAACAAAAAGGGAUCUUCUUUCCCUGUUGGGCCAUCUCAAUUUUGCCAUGAGGAUUAUUCCCCAAGGUCAUUCCUUCAUUUCCAGACUUCUAGACCUGUCUAAAACCGUAGAGAGUAUGCAUGACACAGUUACGUUAGACGAAGGAUGCAGGUCCGAUUUAAAAUUCUGGUCAAAAUUAUGCGACAAUUGGAACAGUAUUUCCUUCUUCUACAAAGAAGAUAUCGAAUCCUCAGUUAAACUGCAGUUCUUCACCGACGCAGCUCCUUCCGUCGGGUUCGGGGGAAUUUUUAAUAAUCAAUGGUUCGCAGAAAGAUGGCCAAAAGAACUUAAGGAACUGGCUCCCUCUAUACAGUCGACAGCGCUUUUGGAAAUAUAUCCUAUAGUGAUUGCUUGCUUAUUAUGGGCAGAUCAAUGGUCUAGGAAAAACAUCCUCGUGUUUUGCGACAACGAAGCUGCAGUCAACAUCAUUAACAAGGGUCCCUCAUCCGUGCCUUUCAUUAACCGCUUUAUUAGGCGUUUAACCUGGAUCUCAAUCAUGAACAAUUUUACUAUUAAAGCUGCUCAUAUACCUGGGCUGGAUAAUAAAAUAGCUGACUCUCUGUCUCGGUUUAAUUUCCAGGAAUUCAGACGCCUGUGUCCGGGAGCUGCUCCUUCACGGCUGGGCUGCCCGAACUUCAGUCAAACAAUCCUAGAAUGA
Long non-coding RNA from Cyprinus carpio (common carp), 1515 nucleotides. Lineage: Eukaryota; Metazoa; Chordata; Actinopteri; Cypriniformes; Cyprinidae. The record is from Ensembl.